GCUGUAACCAAUGUCUGUAUGAGAGAAUGAAAAGCAUUAGUCAUUUGUUCAGUCCAUUGUACGUAAGGUGGUGCAUCCUUUUUAGUACAUUGUCUUAAGAUAUUGUCAAAGAACAGUUCGGUAUCCAUUGACGAUAGUUGACGAUGCCAAGGAAGGACAGCAUUUACUUUGGAGUUUCAGGUUUUUUUAUUUUAGUCAGUGCUUGUACUCUCUUUGGGUUUAUUUGUCUCUGGCCGUGGGAAAGAGAAUCCCAAAUCCCAAACAGUCUCAGCCCCCAUCUGAGCUUUAUGUUUAGAAACCUUAUGACCCUCUGCUGCCAGAUGUUGCAGCAGUGAGGUGGUAUCAUGGUGGUUAGCUUCCUGGUUUGGACUACACAACAAUAAAUCAUCAACAUAUUGAAGCAGGACAGAACCAUGGCCGGGGGCCCAUGACUUAAGGGUAUGCUGGAGCACCAGGGAGUAAGCCGCUGGUGAAUCCACUAGGCCUUGGGGGAGGCGUUUCCAGGUAAGUUGGAACACCUCAAAAGUAAAAGCCAUGUAGAAACCCAAGUUCCACUGCCGGAGUUAUUUCACUGGUCUACUCAUUACUAAUGGACAAUCCUCCGGAUCUUAUUCCCUCAUAUUCGAGAGCGUGGGAAACGGACUUGGGCUAUCAAAUAUCCCCAAAUAAAUGGUCCACAAUUUGGAACUCGAUUAGACAUAUAUCUCCAAAUAUUAGUAUUAAGGAAACGGCAUAUAAAGUUGUAAUGAGAUGGUACACCACCCCAGUUCAAAAACAGAAAUACCUGGCAAAUUACCCAGGGACAUGUUUUAGAACCUGCUUAGAAAGAGGGUCCUAUUAUCACACAUGGUGGACUUGCCCAAUUGUUCACAAUUUAUGGCUUGAAAUAUAUCAGAUUGCAAACCAGAUAUUUGAAUCUCAGCUUGCUCCAGAUCCAGAGAAUGCUCUACUCUGUCUUCCAUCAAGAAAUCUCUCUAAACCACAGAACAAACUAUUUGCUCAAUUAUUGGCUGCAACCAGAUGGUCCAUAGCCUUGAAUUGGCUUGCACCCACCUUAUCUAUAACUCAAGUUAAGUCGAGAAUUGACUAUAUACAAUCUUUGUCUUACUUAUCAGCCCUACUUGCUGAUUCCUUGGACUCCCACAAACAAAUAUGGGAUCCUUGGGAAAAAUUUAAAGUUAACAUGAACCCUGUGAAUAAUGCUCCGCAAGUGUAGUUGGGCUUCACUUAAUCCGAUUUCAAAACUAAGAGAUGAUGUAUGUUAUUAUGCUUCCCCCCCCUUUUUUUUUUUUUUUUCCCCUUUACUGUUAUAAUUUAUUGUAUUACUUUAUUCCCUGUUCAUGAUGUUACAACUCAUUAAGAAUUGUAUGAUAACGUUUUAUCAUAAUUUGUAAUGUUACUUUAUUACCAUAUAUGCAUGCUUUCUAUCUGAUAAUACAAAUAAAGAGAUAUAAAAAAAAAAAAAGUAAAAGCCAAAAGUAACUGUGUCUCCGGGUCUAAUGGAACCGUAAAAAAAUGCAUUGGAUAAACCGUGAACGCCAAAGCAACACACGGAAUGGAGGUAAGAAGAACUGUAAUGUCUGGCACAAUAGGUGCAAUUGGUAUAAUUAGUGAAUUAAUAGCUCUUAAAUCUUGUACAAAUCGAAAUUCGUUGUUCUUCUUAGGAACUGGAUUGAUGAGAGUAUUGUAAGGAGACACAACACUAGUGAGGAUAUCCUGAUUAAGGAAUAUCUGUAUUAACAAACGGAUACCAUCUAACUUUUCCUGUGAUGGAGGGUACUGUUUUAUGUAUACUGGAUGUAAGUGUGGUUUAAGUAGUGCUUUGUAAGGUGUACAGUCAACAAAGCCCACAUCAAAUUUGUCAUUAGCCCAUACAGACAGAAUGGAAGGGUUAGUAAAAAGGUCGUUAGAAUUUAGAAAAAUAGAGUUAGUUUCGGAAACAAAAAUAUCUGCAGAAAGGCCCCCAUCCGGGGAAAUUCUGAUGGAUUGAAAUCCUAACUUGUGGAAUAGAUCUCUGCCUAACAGAUUUUCGGGGCACCCAGGGAUGAGUGUAAAUGGGUGUGAAAUGGUACCGGUAGAGCCUGGGCAUACAAUAGGUAAAGGCGGUGUUUGUCCACUAGGAAUAAUAAAUCCACUCCUGCAACGUUUAAUACAAGAUGAGGAUGAGAUGACAGGGAAACGUGGGGUACAACCUUCAGGGCAGCCCUAUGUAGAACCUGGCCAGUUGAUGGUGUGUCUGGGAGUGGAAUUUGUCGAAGCCUGGGGUUGUGUCUGAGGUGCUUGUGGUUGAAAUGUUGGGGCAGGGGCAUUAGGGACUGCUUGUUGAUUUUGAAAAGUAGGACGCGGCGGCCAGGGGCAUUAGCAAGUAUAUUUUGUAAAUCUGUGGGGCUUAAAGGUUUCAUUAUGAGUUGUUCACCAACAGUAAGAAAAGGAUACUGUUUUGUAACUGGAUGUUGACCCCCCCUUUUUUUAGGUUCUCUUUUCCUUACCGUCAUCUUCAGACGGUCAGGAGUGAUAUGAACUAUUUCAUAACCUGCUUGAGUUAUUAUACCCAUAUCUUUUUCUAAUUCGGGCAUUUGGGGUAUCUCGAUUUUUAUCAGUAUCUACUGUAUCUAAGCCAGAUAGGGGGAAGGCCGGCAAUGGGUAGGCUGCAGCUUCAAUCAUACGGGGUGGGGCAGGGACAGGCAUUGGUUGUUGAACCAAUGGGGCUGCUUGGACUAGUGCUAUAGGGGCAGCUUGGGGUACUAUAGGAGCAGAAGCUACAGCAAUGCAAAUCUCAUCAUCCUCCACGGUAUCUGGUUUAUGUGUCAAAUUGGGGUAGAUAGCCAUGUAAGGGGGUGGGGUAGUAUUAACAGUUUGAUCACAGGUUGUAGAGCAUUGUGAAUUGUGUCGUUUAAAUAGUUUUAAAACACCAGUUUUUCGAGGAUUGUAGUUCUUAGGGAGGGAAGUUGUAGAGUACCAACCUGGGGCAAUCUUAAGCCAAUUUUCCCCACCCGGUGUCAUAUAUGUAUAAUCCCAUUUAGGGUCACCUUCUUUCUUCUGAACACACAUUUGAUAAACUAUAUUCAUAUAAUAUAAAUCAUUAGCUCCAUCACGUGGAAAAGGAUUGUCUAGCUCUAAAUGUUCACACCAACCUGCAAUAUUAUCUACCCAGGGGUCAACAUAAAAUCCUCCAGUAGGACUACAUCUAUACACAUACUGUUUGCAAGUCUCAUUAAGGAGGGGCGGUGGUAAAUUUUUGAAGUCUUACCACCCAUCUUAAUUCAAGACAAGUACAGUCUACAAAUAAGAUUAGCUGACUCUCUGUUCCAGGUUUAUUCACCUACUGCCUGGACUCAUAAAUCGAAACUUUUUGCAGGAAAGAUAGCCUCGAACUCAGAACACGCAGAGUUUAUACGUCUACGGUGUAUAAUGGGAUAAGAAUAGGCCGAAGGAAGAGAAGUGAAAUAGAGUCAACAGAAAUAUUGGUUAAUCAAUUAUGUGGACUAUCGAAUUCAAUAAAAAAACAAAUAUCUCAA
This is a long non-coding RNA of Xenopus laevis (African clawed frog), 3518 nucleotides long. RefSeq lists it as uncharacterized. The transcript is spliced from 2 exons. Lineage: Eukaryota; Metazoa; Chordata; Amphibia; Anura; Pipidae. The record is from RefSeq and is a predicted model, not a curated record.